UCCCUGGUGGCUCAGAUGGUAAAGAAUCUGCCUUCAAUGCGGGAGACCCAGGUUCGAUCCCUGGAAAGGGAA
This 72-nucleotide transfer RNA is filed under the name Bos taurus (domestic cattle). It matches the Rfam family "tRNA". Rfam says of the family: Transfer RNA (tRNA) molecules are approximately 80 nucleotides in length. Their secondary structure includes four short double-helical elements and three loops (D, anti-codon, and T loops). Further hydrogen bonds mediate the characteristic L-shaped molecular structure. tRNAs have two regions of fundamental functional importance: the anti-codon, which is responsible for specific mRNA codon recognition, and the 3' end, to which the tRNAs corresponding amino acid is attached (by aminoacyl-tRNA synthetases). tRNAs cope with the degeneracy of the genetic code in two manners: having more than one tRNA (with a specific anti-codon) for a particular amino acid; and 'wobble' base-pairing, i.e. permitting non-standard base-pairing at the 3rd anti-codon position. RNAcentral also lists the same sequence under 4 other names. The record is from Rfam by way of RNAcentral. Lineage: Eukaryota; Metazoa; Chordata; Mammalia; Artiodactyla; Bovidae.